UAAUACAUAUGAGGCGAGCGUUAUCCGGAAUUACUGGGCGUAAAGGGCGUGUAGGCGGCCUUUUAAGUUGGCGGUGAAAGCUCCCGGCUCAACCGGGAGAGGUCUGCCAAUACUGAAGGGCUAGAGGACAGCAGAGGAAGGUGGAAUUCCCGGUGUAGCGGUGACAUGCGUAGAUAUCGGGAGGAACACCAGUGGCGAAGGCGGCCUUCUGGGCUGUGCCUGACGCUGAGGCGCGAAAGCGUGGGGAGCGAAGCGGAUUAGAUACCCGCGUAGUCCACGCCGUAAACGGUGGAUACUAGGUAUAGGGAGUAUCGACCCUCUCUGUGCCGAAGCUAACGCUUUAAGUAUCCCGCCUGGGAACUACGGUCGCAAGACUA
Molecule: ribosomal RNA, 377 nt
Filed under: uncultured bacterium
Lineage: Bacteria
Description: bacterial SSU rRNA
Rfam family: Bacterial small subunit ribosomal RNA
Source: RNAcentral